RNAcentral lists this small RNA (107 nucleotides) under Klebsiella pneumoniae. RNAcentral's name for it is "partial RtT sRNA". It matches the Rfam family "RtT RNA", at positions 22 to 130 of the family's 130-position model. Rfam says of the family: This family represents a bacterial cis-regulatory element known as RtT RNA. The exact function of RtT is unknown although it is thought that it may be involved in changing the cellular response in relation to amino acid starvation. The record is from RNAcentral. Lineage: Bacteria; Pseudomonadati; Pseudomonadota; Gammaproteobacteria; Enterobacterales; Enterobacteriaceae. RNAcentral also lists the same sequence under 2 other names.
AUUCGAACCUGCAGCAGGUUCGGGUCGAACGCAGUGAGACAACGGAGCCGCUUGCGGCGACGGCCCGAAGGGCGAGGCGAAGCCGAGUCAUCCUGCACGACCCACCA